Molecule: non-coding RNA, 159 nt
Organism: Macaca mulatta (Rhesus monkey)
Lineage: Eukaryota; Metazoa; Chordata; Mammalia; Primates; Cercopithecidae
Source: RefSeq, a predicted model, not a curated record
ACCGAGCCGGGCUGCCCGAGGACAUGGGGCCUGAGCCUGUUGGAAUCUACAACAACAUUGAUCGCUUUGGAAUUCUGCAUGAGACAGAGCUGCCUCCUGCCACUGCUCGGGAGGCGAAGCAAAUGCGGCGGGAGAUAACACGAAAGAGCAAGUGGAUGG